UACGUAGGGUGCAAGCGUUGUCCGGAAUUAUUGGGCGUAAAGGGCUCGUAGGCGGUUUGUCGCGUCGGGAGUGAAAACACUGGGCUUAACCGAGUGCUUGCUUUCGAUACGGGCAGACUUGAGGCAUUGAGGGGAGAACGGAAUUCCUGGUGUAGCGGUGAAAUGCGCAGAUAUCAGGAGGAACACCGGUGGCGAAGGCGGUUCUCUGGGACGGUACUGACGCUGAGACGCGAAAGCGUGGGGAGCGAACAGG
Molecule: ribosomal RNA, 253 nt
Filed under: uncultured bacterium
Lineage: Bacteria
Description: partial 16S ribosomal RNA
Rfam family: Bacterial small subunit ribosomal RNA
Source: RNAcentral